Molecule: ribosomal RNA, 1172 nt
Filed under: Escherichia coli
Lineage: Bacteria; Pseudomonadati; Pseudomonadota; Gammaproteobacteria; Enterobacterales; Enterobacteriaceae
Description: partial 23S ribosomal RNA
Rfam family: Bacterial large subunit ribosomal RNA
Source: RNAcentral
GAAGAGGGAAACAACCCAGACCGCCAGCUAAGGUCCCAAAGUCAUGGUUAAGUGGGAAACGAUGUGGGAAGGCCCAGACAGCCAGGAUGUUGGCUUAGAAGCAGCCAUCAUUUAAAGAAAGCGUAAUAGCUCACUGGUCGAGUCGGCCUGCGCGGAAGAUGUAACGGGGCUAAACCAUGCACCGAAGCUGCGGCAGCGACACUAUGUGUUGUUGGGUAGGGGAGCGUUCUGUAAGCCUGUGAAGGUGUGCUGUGAGGCAUGCUGGAGGUAUCAGAAGUGCGAAUGCUGACAUAAGUAACGAUAAAGCGGGUGAAAAGCCCGCUCGCCGGAAGACCAAGGGUUCCUGUCCAACGUUAAUCGGGGCAGGGUGAGUCGACCCCUAAGGCGAGGCCGAAAGGCGUAGUCGAUGGGAAACAGGUUAAUAUUCCUGUACUUGGUGUUACUGCGAAGGGGGGACGGAGAAGGCUAUGUUGGCCGGGCGACGGUUGUCCCGGUUUAAGCGUGUAGGCUGGUUUUCCAGGCAAAUCCGGAAAAUCAAGGCUGAGGCGUGAUGACGAGGCACUACGGUGCUGAAGCAACAAAUGCCCUGCUUCCAGGAAAAGCCUCUAAGCAUCAGGUAACAUCAAAUCGUACCCCAAACCGACACAGGUGGUCAGGUAGAGAAUACCAAGGCGCUUGAGAGAACUCGGGUGAAGGAACUAGGCAAAAUGGUGCCGUAACUUCGGGAGAAGGCACGCUGAUAUGUAGGUGAAGUCCCUCGCGGAUGGAGCUGAAAUCAGUCGAAGAUACCAGCUGGCUGCAACUGUUUAUUAAAAACACAGCACUGUGCAAACACGAAAGUGGACGUAUACGGUGUGACGCCUGCCCGGUGCCGGAAGGUUAAUUGAUGGGGUUAGCGGUAACGCGAAGCUCUUGAUCGAAGCCCCGGUAAACGGCGGCCGUAACUAUAACGGUCCUAAGGUAGCGAAAUUCCUUGUCGGGUAAGUUCCGACCUGCACGAAUGGCGUAAUGAUGGCCAGGCUGUCUCCACCCGAGACUCAGUGAAAUUGAACUCGCUGUGAAGAUGCAGUGUACCCGCGGCAAGACGGAAAGACCCCGUGAACCUUUACUAUAGCUUGACACUGAACAUUGAGCCUUGAUGUGUAGGAUAGGUGGGAGGCUUUGAAGUGUGG